CUGAAGAUGGCUCCUGAGAUUUGUAGGCUAGUGUUUGCCCAUUUAACACUUUUUUUUCCAUAAAGCCGACAUAUGGAUUUAUCCAAAUUUAUUGGUUCACCUCUCUUGUUAGGCACAAAUCCAAAAUGUUCCCAGAUCGCCAAUUUAACAUUUGGUUUCCCAACAAGAUCCAUCACAGUGGCAGAACCCGAAGUGAAAUCGCAGAAUUCACCUGACUGAUUUGUUUGGCACCUGACUGCGCUCAAACAAACCUGCACCAAACUAACAGACAACACCAUAUAAGGCAUUUGAUUAUGAUUACGGAAUUUGUGUAUUAACCUAAAAUCUCACACUAUACGGUAGGCUACAAAUACAAAUUAAUAUUGCAACUGUUAUCAUUAUUACACUUGUAUACAAACGUUGUACUUUGUACUUGUUAUAAUGCCCAUUCUAGCAGAAACAUUAACGUGGCGUGUGAUGUGACACUACUGCAGGUAGUCAUGGCCACCGUCACAGCCCUAAUGAAGGUUCUUAAUUCAUUAGAAUUAAGAUAGCAAAUCUUGAAGAUAUUUUGUCACUCAUGCAAGGGUCCUUUAUGAGAUGAAAACCAAUUCAAUCCCUCAGACAAAUGUAAAACCUGCUCCCGAUCCACCCUGACUACAGUGGGAAAAAUAGGUUGGUUAGGUUUAAGAGAAAAUAUUAAAUAUAGUUUACAUUAAAAUAUUUAAAGUGGUCAGUGAGUUUUAAGAGAAAAUAUUAAAUAUAGUUUACAUUAAAAUAUUUAGUAAAAAAUGUUUUGUUUGUAAAUUGGCAGACAGAAUGUUCCUGUAAAGUUCUGAAUUCAUUGUACUGCUACCAUCAUGAGUUACAUCAUCAAUAAAGAUUAGUGAGCUUUUUCCAGGAGGAGCCAUGCAAGCCCAAUCUAUGACACUACAUGCUUCACAGAUGAGCUUGUAUGUUUUGGAUCAUGAGCAGAUCCUUCCUUUCUCCACACUUUGGCCUUUCCAUCGUUUGAUAGAGGAUAAUCUUAGUUUCAUAACACUUAUGGCUCUUCUCUUUAUUUCUUUGGGAACUCCAAUCUGGCUUUCUGAUUCUUACUGCUGAUGAGUGGAUUGCAUCUUGUUGUAUGGUCUCUAUAUUUCUGCUCUCUUCAUCGAAUGGUGGAUUAUGUUACCUUCACCUCUGCCCUAUCAAGGUUGUUGGUGAUGUCACUGACUGUUGUUUUUUGUUUUUUCUUCACAGCUCAUUCAUUCAUCGGUCAACCCAUUCGGUAUAUGUUGCUCAGUACACCAGUGGUUUCUUUCUUAUUCAGGACAUUCCAUAUUGUUGUAUUGGCUAUGCCCAAAGUCUGUGCAAUGCCUCUAAUUUAUUUUCCCUAUUUUCUCAGCUUCAAAAUGGCUUGAUUUACUCCCAUAGACAGCUCUCUGGUCUUCAUGUUGGCUUAUCCUUUUUAACAACAUGCAGUCUUGACAGGUGAAACUGAAGGCUAAAACCAAGAGUAGAUGUUCAUAGCUAUUUAUUGUUUUAAAAAAAUCAAUCUAACAGGACACACCUAGGUAACAAGAAACACCUGUCCGUCACAUGUUCCAAUAUUUUUGCUCACCUACAAAUUGGGUUCUCAGAUACAAAAUGUUCUGUGUUCUAUUUUGUUUAACACAGCUAUAUAUAAAUACCAGGAAAUAAAAGCUGAAAUUCUAAACUCUUUACUCAUAUUCAUCUUUUGAUCUCAAACCCAAAU
Long non-coding RNA from Ictalurus punctatus (channel catfish), 1717 nucleotides. NCBI's taxonomy places the organism in Eukaryota, Metazoa, Chordata, Actinopteri, Siluriformes, Ictaluridae. The record is from Ensembl.